RNAcentral lists this ribosomal RNA (497 nucleotides) under uncultured bacterium. RNAcentral's name for it is "partial 16S ribosomal RNA". It matches the Rfam family "Bacterial small subunit ribosomal RNA", at positions 28 to 507 of the family's 1533-position model. The record is from RNAcentral.
GAUGAACGCUGGCGGCGUGCUUAAUACAUGCAAGUCGAGCGAACGGACGAGAAGCUUGCUUCUCUGAUGUUAGCGGCGGACGGGUGAGUAACACGUGGAUAACCUACCUAUAAGGCUGGGAUAACUUCGGGAAACCGGAGCUAAUACCGGAUAAUAUUUUGAACCGCAUGGUUCAAAAGUGAAAGACGGUCUUGCUGUCACUUAUAGAUGGAUCCGCGCUGCAUUAGCUAGUUGGUAAGGUAACGGCUUACCAAGGCAACGAUGCAUAGCCGACCUGAGAGGGUGAUCGGCCACACUGGAACUGAGACACGGUCCAGACUCCUACGGGAGGCAGCAGUAGGGAAUCUUCCGCAAUGGGCGAAAGCCUGACGGAGCAACGCCGCGUGAGUGAUGAAGGUCUUCGGAUCGUAAAACUCUGUUAUUAGGGAAGAACAUAUGUGUAAGUAACUGUGCACAUCUUGACGGUACCUAAUCAGAAAGCCACGGCUAACUACGUG